RNAcentral lists this long non-coding RNA (223 nucleotides) under Trifolium pratense (red clover). RNAcentral's name for it is "long non-coding RNA (TPRA_LNC013252)". Lineage: Eukaryota; Viridiplantae; Streptophyta; Magnoliopsida; Fabales; Fabaceae. The record is from RNAcentral.
UUUUAUUAGCUUGGGUUUUGAAUAUAUCACACAUGUGCCUUUUUCAUGUCUCAAAUUUAAGAUUGAGGUGUAUGCUAAUUCUUUUAAAUCAUAAUGUUAGCUUGAACAUGAGAAUAUGACUGUAGUAGUAUACUAUGUCUACAAUUUCAACCUUUGAUUAUUGGUGGACAUGAGGAUAUAUGCAAAGCUCACGUGAACUCUUCAUUUUAUAAAACUAAUCCCC